GACGAACGCUGGCGGCGUGCUUAACACAUGCAAGUCGAACGGAAAGGCCCUGCUCUUGUGGGGUGCUCGAGUGGCGAACGGGUGAGUAACACGUGAGUAACCUGCCCUUGUCUUUGGGAUAACUUCAGGAAACUGGGGCUAAUACCGGAUAGGAGCUCCUGCUGCAUGGUGGGGGUUGGAAAGUUUCGGCGGUUGGGGAUGGACUCGCGGCUUAUCAGCUUGUUGGUGGGGUAGUGGCUUACCAAGGCUUUGACGGGUAGCCGGCCUGAGAGGGUGACCGGCCACAUUGGGACUGAGAUACGGCCCAGACUCCUACGGGAGGCAGCAGUGGGGAAUAUGGCACAAUGGGCGGAAGCCUGAUGCAGCAACGCCGCGUGCGGGAUGACGGCCUUCGGGUUGUAAACCGCUUUCGCCUGUGACGAAGCGUGAGUGACGGUAAUGGGUAAAGAAGCACCGGCUAACUACGUG
Molecule: ribosomal RNA, 468 nt
Filed under: uncultured bacterium
Lineage: Bacteria
Description: partial 16S ribosomal RNA
Rfam family: Bacterial small subunit ribosomal RNA
Source: RNAcentral